UCCAAAAUGCUACCUAAAAGACUGAAAGAAAUUGGAAUUGAAACUCGCAUUGUCGGCCUGCAGAAAAGUAGCAUCAUAUAUUCUGUAACAAUCCUAAGAAAGAUUCUUAAGAUUUGAGGAAAUUUAUUGCCACUAAAAGUCACAAUAACUCU
Long non-coding RNA from Octopus sinensis (East Asian common octopus), 152 nucleotides. RefSeq lists it as uncharacterized. The record is from RefSeq and is a predicted model, not a curated record. The transcript is spliced from 5 exons. Lineage: Eukaryota; Metazoa; Mollusca; Cephalopoda; Octopoda; Octopodidae.